RNAcentral lists this ribosomal RNA (463 nucleotides) under uncultured bacterium. Its description in RNAcentral is "bacterial SSU rRNA". It matches the Rfam family "Bacterial small subunit ribosomal RNA", at positions 28 to 507 of the family's 1533-position model. The record is from RNAcentral.
GACGAACGCUGGCGGCGUGCUUCAUACAUGCAAGUCGAACGAGAAGUUACCUUCGGGUGAUGGAAAGUGGCGGACGGGUGAGUAAUGCAUGAGCAACCUGCCUUAAAGAGGGGGAUAACACAGAGAAAUUUGUGCUAAUACCGCAUGUGCUUACGGAAUGGCAUCAUUCUGUAAGGAAAGGAGCAAUCCGCUUUAAGAUGGGCUCAUGUCUGAUUAGAUAGUUGGUGAGGUAACGGCUCACCAAGUCUACGAUCAGUAGCCGGACUGAGAGGUUGAUCGGCCACAUUGGAACUGAGAUACGGUCCAGACUCCUACGGGAGGCAGCAGUGGGGAAUAUUGGGCAAUGGGCGAAAGCCUGACCCAGCAACGCCGCGUGAAGGAAGAAGGUCUUCGGAUUGUAAACUUCUUUUAUAAGGGAAGAAAAAUGACUGUACCUUAUGAAUAAGCCACGGCUAACCACGUG